RNAcentral lists this ribosomal RNA (1325 nucleotides) under metagenome. Its description in RNAcentral is "bacterial LSU rRNA". It matches the Rfam family "Bacterial large subunit ribosomal RNA", at positions 1561 to 2925 of the family's 2925-position model. The record is from RNAcentral.
AGUGGAUGGGGAGCAACCUAGUUGUGCGUGUGUAAAGGUAGUGCCAAGAAAAGCGGUGAUCAUGAUGAAAAUCAAUCCCCGGUACCCGAAACCGACACAGGUGGGCAAGUAGAGAAUACUAAGGGGCGCGAGGUAACUCUCUCUAAGGAACUCGGCAAAAUGACCCCGUAACUUAGGGAGAAGGGGUGCCACCGAGAGGUGGUCGCAGUGAAGAGGCCCAGGCGACUGUUUAGCAAAAACAUAGGUCUCUGCAAACUCGAAAGAGGAGGUAUAGGGGCUGACGCCUGCCCAGUGCCGGAAGGUUAGAGAAGUUGGUCAGUCUUAGGAUGAAGCUAGCGACUGAAGCCCCGGUGAACGGCGGCCGUAACUAUAACGGUCCUAAGGUAGCGAAAUUCCUUGUCGGGUAAGUUCCGACCCGCACGAAAGGCGUAACGAUCUGGGCGCUGUCUCGGAGAGAGGCUCGGCGAAAUAGGAUUGUCUGUGAAGAUACGGACUACCUGCAUUUGGACAGAGAGACCCUAUGAAGCUUUACUAUAGCUUGGAAUUGUGUUCGGGCUUCCUGUGCGCAGGAUAGGUGGGAGGCGUAGAAGGUAUUCUUGUGGGGAUACUGGAGCCAACGGUGAGAUACCACUCUCAGGAGGCUAGAAUUCUAACUUAAUUAAGGACAGUUUCAGGUGGGUAGUUUGACUGGGGCGGUCGCCUCCAAAAAGGUAACGGAGGCGUACAAAGGUUCCCUCAGACUGGUUGGGAAUCAGUCGCAGAGUGCAAAGGCAGAAAGGAGCUUGACUGCGAGAAGUACAGUUCGAGCAGGGUGGAAACACGGUCUUAGUGAUCCGACGGUGCUGUGUGGAAGGGCCGUCGCUCAACGGAUAAAAGUUACUCUAGGAUAACAGGCUGAUCUCCCCCAAGAGUUCACAUCGACGGGGAGGUUUGGCACCUCGAUGUCGGCUCAUCGCAACCUGGGGCGGAAGUACGUCCCAAGGGUUGGGCUGUUCGCCCAUUAAAGCGGUACGUGAGCUGGGUUCAGAACGUCGUGAGACAGUUCGGUCCAUAUCCGAUGUAGGCGUGAGAAUAUUGAGAGGAGCCUUCCUUAGUACGAGAGGACCGGGAAGGACGCACCGCUGGUGUACCUGUUAUGAUGCCAAUUGUAAACGCAGGGUAGCCAAGUGCGGAGAGGAUAACCGCUGAAAGCAUCUAAGUGGGAAGCCCACCUCAAGAUGAGUAUUCUGGUGUAAGGUCACGGGAAGACGACCCGUAAAUAGGCACGAGGUGGAAGUGCAGAGAUGUAUGAAGCCGAAGUGUACUAAUAGACCGUCGGCUUGAGC